AUUGCCUGUGAUGAUUGUAUCCCAGCGUGUUUUGAUGUUAAAUGAAACUUCCUACUUACAACAUGCACUACCAUCUGAGGCAAU
Non-coding RNA from Biomphalaria glabrata, 84 nucleotides. Lineage: Eukaryota; Metazoa; Mollusca; Gastropoda; Planorbidae. The record is from Rfam.